Long non-coding RNA from Hemicordylus capensis (graceful crag lizard), 265 nucleotides. RefSeq lists it as uncharacterized. Lineage: Eukaryota; Metazoa; Chordata; Lepidosauria; Squamata; Cordylidae. The transcript is spliced from 2 exons. The record is from RefSeq and is a predicted model, not a curated record.
GGAUUGCCAAGAGCCUGCUGUUGCCUGGAGGUAGAGGUGCAGAGGUGAAGAGAGUCUUUGACGUUUCCCGGGGCAUAAGAUGUUUAAGCUACUGCUUACCUUGCGAGAAAGGAAUUUAAGAACUGCUGAGAUACUUGGUUUAUGUAAGCAACUGAGGAUGAUGUAUUGACAUCGAUUCCUGUUGAAAAUUUUGUUUUGUUGUAACCUGUAACAUCUAGCAGAUGGUAUUUUAUAUUUGCGUAAUAAAGAGUUCUUGGUGGAAGAA